Molecule: long non-coding RNA, 1058 nt
Filed under: Felis catus (domestic cat)
Lineage: Eukaryota; Metazoa; Chordata; Mammalia; Carnivora; Felidae
Description: lncRNA (ENSFCAG00000053420.1)
Source: RNAcentral
ACGGCACAGAGUUUUACCCGCAUGGACCUGUGCCGGGCAGGACACGGGAGCUGGCGUCCGCCUCGUCGAGGCGAGUGUCACAGGGAAGCCUGUUCUGGAUCCCUCACCUGAGGUCCAAGGCACUGAGCUACGCCCGGCUGGGGGCACAGGGCUGGGCCGAACUUUUCAGAAAGAGGGGAUGGCUCAGCAUGGGAGAGACUGACAGCAAUCAGCACCUCUUGGAAGACUUGGCCCAGAACCUCGCAGGAAACGGGCAAAGGCCUUUCAGAUCGAUCUGGAACCGACACAAGCACACUGAAUCACCACGAAGACCAAAGUGGUGACGGAGCCCUGAAGACCAAAGAGCGUGGAGAGGCUGCUAUGACCUCACAGCCCAGGUAAGUCUUAAAAAGCCAUGGUACCCAAUGGAAUACUACGUGCCAAUGAGAAAGAAUGAAAUCUGGCCCUUUGCAGCAACGUGGUUGGAACUGAAGAGUGUUGUACUAAGUGAAAUAAGCCAUACAGAGAAAGACAGAUACCAUAUGUUUUCACUGUUAUGUGGAUCCUGAGACACUUAACAGAAGACCAUGGGGGAGGGGAAGGGGAAAAAAAAGUUAUAAAGAGGGAAGGAGGCAAACCAUGAGAGACUCUUAAAAACUGAGAACAAACUGAGGGUUGGUGGGGGGUGGGAGGGAGGGGAGGGUGGGGGAGGGGCAUUGAGGAGGGCACCUGUUGGGAUGAGCACUGGGGUUGUAUGGAAACCAAUCUGACAACAAAUUUCAUGUUAAAAAAAAAAAAAAAGCCAUGGUAACCUGACAAAAUGCGGUGUGCUUGCCUAGCCUGGGUCCUGGGGACUGAAAGUCCAUUUUUAUAGAAAACGUGGUUUAUUCCAAGUAAGAUCCUCAGUUUAGUUAAUAGUCAUGUGCCAAGGUCAAUUCCUUAGUUCUGACAACUACACUGUGAUCAUGGAAGAUCCGUAAAGGGCAUGCUACGGGAACGCUAAUAUUUUUGGAACUUGCUUGUUAAAGCUAAAAUUUACCCAAAAUAAAUUUAAUAUUAAAAAAAAUGUAGGCCUUGGA